AAGACUAUAGACCUGCGGAGUACCUGCGGAAGGAUCAUUACCGAGUGAGGGCCCUCUGGGUCCAACCUCCCACCCGUGUUUAUCGUACCUUGUUGCUUCGGCGGGCCCGCCUCACGGCCGCCGGGGGGCACCUGCCCCCGGGCCCGCGCCCGCCGAAGACAUCAUUGAACUCUGUCUGAAGAUUGCAGUCUGAGUAGAUUAGCUAAAUCAGUUAAAACUUUCAACAAUGGAUCUCUAGAU
This 240-nucleotide unclassified non-coding RNA is filed under the name soil metagenome. RNAcentral's name for it is "partial contains 5.8S ribosomal RNA, internal transcribed spacer 2, and large subunit ribosomal RNA". The record is from RNAcentral.